Molecule: ribosomal RNA, 395 nt
Filed under: uncultured Glomeromycotina
Lineage: Eukaryota; Fungi; Glomeromycota
Description: SSU rRNA
Rfam family: Eukaryotic small subunit ribosomal RNA
Source: RNAcentral
GGUAUGUACUAGCUUGCUGAUUCCCUCCUUUCUUGUAGAACCGUAAUGCCAUUAAUUUGGUGUUGCGGGGAAACAGGACUGUUACUUUGAAAAAAUUAGAGUGUUUAAAGCAGGCUAGCGCCUGAAUACAUUAGCAUGGAAUAAUGAAAUAGGACGUUCGAACCUAUUUUGUUGGUUUCUAGGAUUGACGUAAUGAUUAAUAGGGAUAGUUGGGGGCAUUAGUAUUCAAUUGUCAGAGGUGAAAUUCUUGGAUUUAUCGAAGACUAACUACUGCGAAAGCAUUUGCCAAGGAUUGUUUUCAUUAAUCAAGAACGAAAGUUAGGGGAUCGAAGACGAUCAGAUACCGUCGUAGUCUUAACCAUAAACUAUGCCGACUAGGGGAUCGGAUGAUGUUA